Molecule: long non-coding RNA, 203 nt
Filed under: Lathyrus oleraceus (garden pea)
Lineage: Eukaryota; Viridiplantae; Streptophyta; Magnoliopsida; Fabales; Fabaceae
Description: Pisum sativum (pea) long non-coding RNA (PSAT_LNC005449)
Source: RNAcentral
UUUUUCUUAACUAUGUUUAGCACAUCGAUAUUUCUACAUUUAUAUAUUCAUGUUUUAUGUUUGUUUAUUAUAUUUAUGCUUUUAUUAUAGUUUAUUUAUAUUAAUUGUUUAUUUAUUUUUUAGUGUAAUGUUUGAAUUUUAUUUUUAUAAAAUUAAGCAAGCCUCAUGUUACUAGGAAAUUACAAGACAAACGCUAUCCAGAC